GUAUGAUUUAUGGACCGCCAGCCUGUCGAAACAGGUCGACGUUCUCGAUUACAUUCUGUAGACAUACGACGGGUGUGAUGUGAAAAAACAUAGAUCCUCUUUCGAGGACCUACAAUGGGUGCACAGGUGUGUGUGAUGAGAGAAAGAGGAAGGUCAGCGAAAAGGAAGACGUGCACAUGCCCCGAGGGGCCAGCGACAGUCUUCGCUUUCCAUCUUUCCCUCCCCCUCCCCUCAGAAAUUCGAUAAUGAUCCUUCCGCAGGUUCACCUACGGAAA
This 275-nucleotide unclassified non-coding RNA is filed under the name uncultured fungus. Its description in RNAcentral is "sequence contains ITS1". Lineage: Eukaryota; Fungi. The record is from RNAcentral.